ACUCAGAAUGCGCCAGACAGAGACGGAAAAAACUACACAGGCAACGCAGUCUGAUGGAGAAAAAGCAAGCAAGAGCCGCACUUUGCGAUCUCUCCGAACAGCAGAGCAUUGGGCAGUCAAACCGAAAGCCAUAACGCUUAAGGAUUUAGAUUGAAGAGAUUUCCUUUUUUAAAUGUUUGGCAUCAGUGAUAGGGCAUGACAGUAUCUGCAAAAAUGUAUUAUUGACCAUGCAAUUACAAUUGCCCAGUUAAACACAAUUAACAGUUCUCAUAAUUUAGCUCUGGUCUGAAAUGCAUAAAACAAUAGUUACCCCUGAGAAAAUGUAAUAACUAGCACAGAAUAAAAUAAAGAACAUGGAUCAUCUAUAUACGACGGCGGACAAUUCCAGCGGAACCUGGACCAAUAACUCAGGACUAAAUGACACCGAAGCGUAUUCGAACCAAUUCGUGCAGCCGGUCUGGAGGAUAGUGCUGUGGGCAAUCGCGUACAGCAGCAUAGUCAUCGUCUCCGUGGUGGGUAACAUCGUGGUAAUAUGGAUCAUCGUAGCGCACAAACGCAUGAGAACUGUCACCAACUACUUUCUAGUGAACUUGGCAUUCGCCGAGGCGUCAAUGUCAGCGUUCAACACAGUAAUUAACUUCACUUAUGCGGCGCACAACGAGUGGUACUUCGGGCUGGUGUACUGUCGCUUCCACAACUUCUUUCCUAUUGCAGCAGUCUUCGCUAGCAUCUAUUCCAUGACGGCUAUAGCAUUAGACAGGUAUGUGGCAAUCAUCCACCCCCUGCAGCAACGGCUGUCGUCCAGGGAGACCAAGGUGAUUGUGGGGGUGAUCUGGGUGCUGGCGCUCUUCCUGGCCUUCCCCCCGUACUAUUACUCAACGACCCUGCAGCUGCCCGGCCGAGUGGUCUGCCUGGUGGACUGGCCCGAGUACACCGUCUGGAACUUCAAGAAGAUGUACUUUGUGUGUGAGACGGUGCUGAUUUACCUCCUCCCCUUGCUGGUGAUGGGCUGUGCCUACUUGGUGGUGGGCCUUACACUGUGGGCGAGUGAGAUCCCGGGAGACUCGUCCGACCGCUACCGUGAGCAGCUUACUGCCAAGCGCAAGGUGGUGAAAAUGAUGAUAGUGGUGGUGUGCACGUUCGCCAUCUGCUGGCUGCCCUACCACGUGUACUUCCUGCUGGAUGAGUUCUUCCCGGAGGUGUUUGAGGAGAUGUUCAUUCAGCAGGUGUACCUGGCCAUCAUGUGGCUCGCCAUGAGCUCCACCAUGUACAACCCCAUCAUCUACUACCUCCUCAACGACAGGUUUCGCGCCGGAUUCAGGCAAGCGUUCCGCUGGUGUCCCUGCGUGUCCGACGGCUCAUACGAGGGGCUGGAGCUCAAAUCCACCCGCUUCUUGCAGACCCAGGUCAGCGUGUACAAGACCAGCCGCAUGGAGACCACCGUCUCCACAGUGCUCCAGCAGGGGGAGGAGCCCCAGCCGGCAGGGGCAGGGCCAGGGCCAGGGCCAGGGCCAGGGCCGGAGCUGGACCUCACCUCCAACGGCUCCUCAUCCCGCAGCGUCUCUAAGACCGUGUCCGAGACCUCCAGCUUCUACUCCAGCAACCACCUGGCCUAGCACCCUGCCACCCCCUGUUCCGCCUCGCCCCACCCUCCACCAUCAUGCUUUGUUACACUUCAGAAUAGAAAGAUGUGUUGUUUCCUCUGCAGCUGUGUGAGGUGCCUUUCAUGUGUGGAUGGUGUAACACAAGCGGUGCUUUGAAGUUCCGCUCAAGUCCAGCUCUGGGGGCUAGUCCAGCACACCUGCACUGCUGACCACAGGCUGCUGUGUUACUGCCUGGUGCUGAUGCGUGACCGCAUUUACCGCCCACAGCAGCCCAGAGGAGUGCACGCGCUCCAGCUGCGGUGUACCCGGAGCGCAGGCGCUGCAACGGUGAAGGUUCUUUCCAUGGUAUUCAAUGUGUAUCAGGGAGAAUGUGGGGGGAAAAGGUACAUGCCUAUUUGUAUUCAUAUUACUGUUGACAUUACUGUCGUAUCAUAUGUACAGGUUGAGUUCAGACUGUAAGUGAACAUGAGCACAGUCAGGGCUACUAAGGAACUAGGCUUUGCUUUCUGGAGGUUGUGGAUUUGAUUCCCAGGUCGCAAAUUUUCAGUGCCCUUGCGGUAAAUUACAGACAUGUACUUGAAUUGCUUUAGUACAUAUCCAGCCACACAAGCCUAAAAGUCAAAUAUGAAAUACCCCACGUAACCCUGGGUCAGUGUGCUCAUAAAGAAGGAGAACAGCAAAAACAGCAAAGCUUCAAAACACAAAGCCAGAGAAAAGCUGCCAAGAGGCCAGGAAUGGCCAGAUGCCAACCCUGCUGUCUGCCCACUACAAUGUACCUUUUGUCAUAUUCCAUAGAUUGUCUGCCUGUGUUUCAGUGGAUAACAAUGCUGUCAGACAUUUGUAUUAUAUUUUUUUCAAAUUGUGUAGUAACUCAUGAUAAACAUGGUUAAGAAUAUGCGACCUGUACAUAGAUAUGCUUGGAUUUUUAUAUUGCUUUGCCAUAGAUGCUUUUAAAGAAGCUAAUCCUAUCCCCUGCUUUAAUGUACUUUGUAUGGUGUGUGCACAUUGGGUAACACGCUUUUUUGUGUUAGUCACAUUUUGAGCUCCCUGAAAUAUAACCCCUUCUGGCAUUCACAGAUAAAUGUAUUGAGUUGGUUUGAAACUUUUUUUCUUUUUUUGGAUGUAAAAAAAAAAAAAUAUCAUUAUGAAAUCCUAAAAAAUAAGAAUUCUAACUUGAAAGAUUUUUGAAACUGCAUGGCUUGAAUAUACAUGUAUAAUGUCUACCUGGUGCCAUUUGCCUGCAAAGAGUGCAUUCAUUUAUAUGAAUGGCCUACAGGAGCACUGGCCGAUAAAGUUUCUGACAACCUGCUGAUGGGAAUCUCGACUAAAAGCAUGCAUUAUAAUGCCUCGACGCUUCUGUGCCUGGUGAAGAGAAUUUAGGCUGAAGGUUGCCCGGUUCAUUUCCGAGAGAACAGCAUGUGUGUGUGUGUGUGUGUGUGUGUGUGUGUAUGAAUGUGUGAAGGAAUGGCAUCAAGCCUUCAAGUGUCUAUCUGUUCUUCUGCAGUCUGCCUUUGCCUCUGUCUCCUGAAAACUUUGACCUGGCCAGCUAGUCGGCACAUCAGACUGUCAGCGAUGGGCCUGUAUGCUGUGGGCUUGUAGUAGUAAGUGCCUCAUUGUUUGAGCGCUCAGUUCAUGCUUUAUGCCCACAUUGUGUGGAGUAAUACGUGAAAAAGUUCAAGAACCUGGAGCAGCACUGCAGUGAGCGGGCUACUCACAAUCAGCAAGAGGUGAAGUGAGCGACAGACAGAGUAAGAAUUAGAGAGAGAGAGAGAAAGAGAGCAUAAUUACCAUGUCUGACCUUUUCCGCUUCUGUGUUUAAAGCCCAGUGGAUUUCAGAUUCAUGCUAAUGCAUUCAAAUUUACUUAUUUGUCUCGCUCUCCCCCCUCACAUUUCCAGCUAAAAAAACACUACCUGUCUAAAGGAGGAUACCGACAGACUCAGAGAAGAAAUGGAAAACGGAUUAAUGUGAUUCUAUAUUUGAAACCCUGGUAACCGAAGGCACUUUACAGCCACUAGUCUUAUCAACGAAGAUUCAGUACAUAAAUGAAAAUGGUACUUUUCUUUCCCUCUCUCUCUCUGGCUCCCUCUCACAAAUAUAUGCUCACACAUGAACAUACGUACCCAUGCACAUACACAGAUGCAUGUACAUAUACACAUAGGUAUGCACACACAGUGAUAUAUACAUGUGCACAAUCACGCACACAAACACACACUGUACAUACAGUACACACAUGCACACACGUAUGCACACAUGCACACGCAUGCACACACACAGGUGCGUUGUUCUCCAGGGAGUCCAGAAAAGCAUGUGGAAGCAAUCAGCGAUGUCUUUCUCUGCUAUCCAUCUAUGCCACCACUGCUAUAGUGAGAUCAGUUCUUUCUAUGAACUUCUUCCGUGUUGCUUUUGUGCUUUCAUUUGCCUUUCUUAUGUCUGUUUUAUUAAACAGUGGCUAAUGGAUCGACUUCUACUCUUUUAAUUUCAUAAAGGAAUAUUUCAUCUUACUGUCUGAGUUGCUCUGGUAAAAGAAUUUACCUAUCUAUUGUUUACUUCUGUCUGAAUAGACUCUGUUACUCGUAAUUCUUACAAUUGUACAGUGAUCCAUACUAGUAUCUGGAAAACAUGCAUUUGUGUCUCAUGGCUAUUUGAUCAAAUAUUAACCAUGUGUACUAUACUUCACACAGAUGUGUGCAGAUUUUCCAUAAAUAAAUGCCCUGUGAUGUGAAAUAAA
RNA transcript from Anguilla anguilla (European eel), 4333 nucleotides. It is a transcript of the gene named substance-P receptor-like, with no coding region annotated. The transcript has 6 exons. The record is from RefSeq and is a predicted model, not a curated record. NCBI's taxonomy places the organism in Eukaryota, Metazoa, Chordata, Actinopteri, Anguilliformes, Anguillidae.